AGUGAACGCUGGCGGUAGGCCUAACACAUGCAAGUCCAACGGCAGCACAGUAAGAGCUUGCUCUUACGGGUGGCGAGUGGCGGACGGGUGAGGAAUACAUCGGAAUCUACUUUUUCGUGGGGGAUAACGUAGGGAAACUUACGCUAAUACCGCAUACGACCUACGGGUGAAAGCAGGGGAUCUUCGGACCUUGCGCGAUUGAAUGAGCCGAUGUCGGAUUAGCUAGUUGGCGGGGUAAAGGCCCACCAAGGCGACGAUCCGUAGCUGGUCUGAGAGGAUGAUCAGCCACACUGGAACUGAGACACGGUCCAGACUCCUACGGGAGGCAGCAGUGGGGAAUAUUGGACAAUGGGCGCAAGCCUGAUCCAGCCAUACCGCGUGGGUGAAGAAGGCCUUCGGGUUGUAAAGCCCUUUUGUUGGGAAAGAAAAGCAGCAGGUUAAUACCCCGCUGUUCUGACGGUACCCAAAGAAUAAGCACCGGCUAACUUCGUGC
Molecule: ribosomal RNA, 493 nt
Filed under: uncultured bacterium
Lineage: Bacteria
Description: partial 16S ribosomal RNA
Rfam family: Bacterial small subunit ribosomal RNA
Source: RNAcentral